RNAcentral lists this ribosomal RNA (175 nucleotides) under uncultured bacterium. RNAcentral's name for it is "partial 16S ribosomal RNA". It matches the Rfam family "Bacterial small subunit ribosomal RNA", at positions 336 to 523 of the family's 1533-position model. The record is from RNAcentral.
CUCCUAUGGGAGGCAGCAGUGGGGAAUAUUGCGCAAUGGGCGAAAGCCUGACGCAGCGACGCCGCGUGAGGGAUGACGGCCUUCGGGUUGUAAACCUCUUUCAGCAGGGACGAAGCGAAAGUGACGGUACCUGCAGAAGAAGCACCGGCCAACUACGUGCCAGCAGCCGCGGUAA